GAUGAACGCUGGCGGCGUGCCUAAUACAUGCCAGUCGAGCGAACAGACGAGGAGCUUGCUCCUCUGACGUUAGCGGCGGAGGGGUGAGUAACACGUGGAUAACCUACCUAUAAGACUGGGAUAACUUCGGGAAACCGGCGCUAAUCCCGGAUAAUCUAUUGAACCGCAUGGUUCAUUAGUGAAAGACGGUUUUGCUGUCACUUAUAGAUGGAUCCGCGCCGCAUUAGCUAGUUGGGAAGGUAACGGCUUACCAAGGCAACGAUGCGUAGACGACCUGAGAGGGUGAUCGGCCACACUGGAACUGAGACACGGACCAGACUCCUACGAGAGGCAGCAGUAGGGUAUCUGCCGCAGUGGGCGAAAGCCUGACGGAACAACGCCGCGUGAAUGAUGAAGGUCUUCGGAUCGUAAAACUCUGUUAUUAGGGAAGAACAAAUGUGUAAGUAACUAUGCACGUCUUGACGGUACCUAAUCAGAAAGCCACGGCUAACUACGUG
Molecule: ribosomal RNA, 497 nt
Filed under: uncultured bacterium
Lineage: Bacteria
Description: partial 16S ribosomal RNA
Rfam family: Bacterial small subunit ribosomal RNA
Source: RNAcentral